CCGAGUUCCGACUAGCUUCUGGUUAUAGGUUUUGGGCCGAAAAUUGGAUCGGUCUACCCGGGCUCAGUAUGGUUAUAAACCCGGGUACCGAGUUUAAAAUUGGCACCUGGUUUCCAUUAAAAAAAUGCAAAACACAGUAAACACCCCCCAAAGAUCGAUCUGACUCUCUCUCUCAUCUAAACCCCAGCUCCCGCCGCCCAUUCUCUCUUGUGUCAAUACCCUCUCUCCUGCCGCUCAGCUUUCUUCUUCUUUUUUGCCUCAUUUUCUCUCUCUCUCUCUCUCUCACACACACGCGCGCGCGUCUAAACCCUACCCUAGCUCACGUCAAAACCCUCCUCCUUCUCUCCAUCUUAUCAUUAUCUUCCUCCUCCUUCUCUCCAUCUUCUCAUUCUCUUCCUCCUUCUUCUCACAUCUUUCUAGCUUUCUUCUCGCAAGCCUAUGGCCAGGUUUCUAUGUUCCACAGCCAUGGUUUGGUCGUUCGUCGCUUUGUGAGAUCCUUGAUGGUUAGCCUUCAAGAACCACCAUGGCCACAUCAAGACGUGGCUUUGGGUUCUUUUUACUUUUUUUGUUCUGUAUCUACUCUUAGAUUUGAUCCCAUAAUUCACAUUUUAUUUUCUAUUUAUUUGUAGAUCUUAGAAUCCUUAAUGUGAUUUGAUAUCUGAGUGUACGACAUUUGCUAUCUCUUUUCUUCAAGGCGUCAGUUAUAGUAACUAGCGAUUAGAUCUUAAAUAAUGUGCAAACUAUUUUCUGAGUUUUUGAAUAUGAGGUCAAGAAGGCUUUCAGACAAUUUGCUUUACAGGUGGGGUGGUGUUCAAAAUUGGCAACCUAUCUACUCAAUAUGUUUGGGCUUUUGUUGGUUUAUUAGUGACGGAAAUGAUCACUUCAAGCAUCACUUUGGAAGACCAUGCUACUAUUUUGUAACAAAUAUCUUUGCAAUUUUGUGUUUUGUUAUGUAAUGUAUAACUAUCAAAUAAUGUAACAUAUAGUGGAUUGCAUUGUGUGUUGCAUUUUAAAUGAUGAAUAUUGGAUUUUUUUCUUUUUUUGUUUUA
Juglans microcarpa x Juglans regia is the source of this 1049-nucleotide long non-coding RNA. RefSeq lists it as uncharacterized. Lineage: Eukaryota; Viridiplantae; Streptophyta; Magnoliopsida; Fagales; Juglandaceae. The transcript has 2 exons. The record is from RefSeq and is a predicted model, not a curated record.